AAUGCAUGCCGCGCCCCAGGCCCCCUCCCCCCUCACCCCCUGCCCACCUCCCCCCAUCCUUUCCCGCUACAGCGACACCCGGCCCUGUCCGGAACCAGCCCUGAAUUCGAACCCUGCACCCCCAGCCCCAUCCCGGCCUGCCCGUGCAUACCACACACCACCUGGCUCCCUGACCCCCAACGCCUUCCGGAAUAUUUCCCAGCCUCCAGACUUUGAACGUCGGGCAAGCACCUCUGCAAGGAAGGCCGGACCCACUUGGCCAGCCUCCACCCUGGCUGAGUCCUUCUGUCCUUCGGGCCUCAGUGCCAGCUCCCCAGGGAGCCCCGCCCUGGGCUGGCUCUCCCCGGAACACUGCCUGCACCCCACUAGGGAACUAAAGACAUGUGCACCCAGCCCAGAUCCCACUAGACCAGUUUCUCAGACCCAUCAGGGGCCUCCUGGGUGGGUGAGAACUGGUGAAGGCACAACAAGGAAUCGAAUCUGCGAGGACCCAGGAAUCCACCCAUUCCACCAGACUGCCCCAGGCUGGAGGGUUCCUGAAGGCAGGAGCUCUGACUCAGCCCACCAACAGCCUCCAAAUCACUGCACUUCCCCAGAACGGAAGCCUGAUCGGAGCAGACUCUCUCUUCCUCAAAUUGCUGCCCUUCUCCGCUAGCCAUCUACAAACUCCCCGGCCCCACCCGCUCUCACUUCUUGUUGUCUGCU
RNAcentral lists this long non-coding RNA (705 nucleotides) under Dasypus novemcinctus (nine-banded armadillo). RNAcentral's name for it is "lncRNA (ENSDNOG00000052180.1)". The record is from RNAcentral. Lineage: Eukaryota; Metazoa; Chordata; Mammalia; Cingulata; Dasypodidae.